GACGAACGCUGGCGGCGUGCUUAACACAUGCAAGUCGAACGGAAAGGCCUUUUCGGAGGUACUCGAGUGGCGCACGGGUGAGUAACACGUGGGUGAUCUGCCCUGCACUCUGGGAUAAGCCUGGGAAACUGGGUCUAAUACCGGAUAGGACCGCACUUUAGUGUGUGUGGUGGAAAGUUUUUUCGGUGUAGGAUGAGCCCGCGGCCUAUCAGCUUGUUGGUGGGGUAAUGGCCUACCAAGGCGGCGACGGGUAGCCGGACUGAGAGGUUGGUCGGCCACAUUGGGACUGAGAUACGGCCCAGACUCCUACGGGAGGCAGCAGUGGGGAAUAGUGCACAAUGGGCGCAAGCCUGAUGCAGCGACGCCGCGUGGGGGAUGACGGCCUUCGGGUUGUAAACUCCCUUCGCCAGGGACGAAGCGUUUUGUGACGGUACCUGGAGAAGAAGCACCGGCUAACUACGUG
RNAcentral lists this ribosomal RNA (463 nucleotides) under uncultured bacterium. Its description in RNAcentral is "partial 16S ribosomal RNA". It matches the Rfam family "Bacterial small subunit ribosomal RNA", at positions 28 to 507 of the family's 1533-position model. The record is from RNAcentral.